AGUGGCGGACGGGUGAGUAACACGUAAGAAUUUGCCUUUAGGAGGGGGACAACAACUAGAAAUGGUUGCUAAUACCCCAUAUGCUUUCGAGUGAAAUGGAUUUUUCCGCCUAGAGAGAAGCUUGCGGCUGAUUAGCUUGUUGGUGAGGUAAUGGCUCACCAAGGCGACGAUCAGUAUCUGGUUUGAGAGGACGAUCAGACACACUGGAACUGAGACACGGUCCAGACUCCUACGGGAGGCAGCAGUGGGGAAUUUUCCGCAAUGGGCGAAAGCCUGACGGAGCAAUACCGCGUGAGGGAUGACGGCCUAUGGGUUGUAAACCUCUUUUUUCAGGGAGGAAUCAAUGACGUGUACCUGAAGAAUAAGCAUCGGCUAACUCCGUGCCAGCAGCCGCGGUAAGACGGGGGAUGCAAGUGUUAUCCGGAAUCACUGGGCGUAAAGCGUCUGUAGGUGGUCCAAUAAGUCAACUGUUAAAUCUUGAGGCUCAACCUCAAAAUCGCAGUCGAAACUAUUAGACUAGAGUAUAGUAGGGGUAAAGGGAAUUUCCAGUGGAGCGGUGAGAUGCGUAGAGAUUGGAAAGAACACCGAUGGCGAAGGCACUUUACUGGGCUAUUACUAACACUCAGAGACGAAAGCUAGGGUAGCAAAUGGGAUUAGAUACCCCAGUAGUCCUAGCCGUAAACAAUGGAUACUAGAUGUU
This 700-nucleotide ribosomal RNA is filed under the name uncultured bacterium. Its description in RNAcentral is "bacterial SSU rRNA". It matches the Rfam family "Bacterial small subunit ribosomal RNA", at positions 94 to 824 of the family's 1533-position model. The record is from RNAcentral.